GUGGGGAAUCUUGCGCAAUGGGCGAAAGCCUGACGCAGCCAUGCCGCGUGAAUGAUGAAGGUCUUAGGAUUGUAAAAUUCUUUCACCGGGGACGAUAAUGACGGUACCCGGAGAAGAAGCUCCGGCUAACUUCGUGCCAGCAGCCGCGGUAAUACGAAGGGGGCUAGCGUUGCUCGGAAUUACUGGGCGUAAAGGGCGCGUAGGCGGACAGCUUAGUCAGAGGUGAAAGCCCAGGGCUCAACCUUGGAAUUGCCUUUGAUACUUGCUGUCUUGAGUUUGGGAGAGGUGAGUGGAACUCCGAGUGUAGAGGUGAAAUUCGUAGAUAUUCGGAAGAACACCAGUGGCGAAGGCGACUCACUGGCCCAAUACUGACGCUGAGGCGCGAAAGCGUGGGGAGCAAACAGGAUUAGAUACCCCAGUAGUCC
This 425-nucleotide ribosomal RNA is filed under the name uncultured bacterium. RNAcentral describes it as "partial 16S ribosomal RNA". It matches the Rfam family "Bacterial small subunit ribosomal RNA", at positions 354 to 796 of the family's 1533-position model. The record is from RNAcentral.